CUGGAGGUAUCAGAAGUGCGAAUGCUGACAUAAGUAACGAUAAAGCGGGUGAAAAGCCCGCUCGCCGGAAGACCAAGGGUUCCUGUCCAACGUUAAUCGGGGCAGGGUGAGUCGACCCCUAAGGCGAGGCCGAAAGGCGUAGUCGAUGGGAAACGGGUUAAUAUUCCCGUACUUGGUGUUACUGCGAAGGGGGGACGGAGAAGGCUAUGUUGGCCGGGCGACGGUUGUCCCGGUUUAAGCGUGUAGGUGUGUGUUCCAGGUAAAUCCGGUUCACUUUAACACUGAGGCGUGACGACGAGGCACUACGGUGCUGAAGCAACAAAUGCCCUGCUUCCAGGAAAAGCCUCUAAGCAUCAGGUAACAUCAAAUCGUACCCCAAACCGACACAGGUGGUCAGGUAGAGAAUACCAAGGCGCUUGAGAGAACUCGGGUGAAGGAACUAGGCAAAAUGGUGCCGUAACUUCGGGAGAAGGCACGCUGACACGUAGGUGAAGUGAUUUACUCAUGGAGCUGAAGUCAGUCGAAGAUACCAGCUGGCUGCAACUGUUUAUUAAAAACACAGCACUGUGCAAACACGAAAGUGGACGUAUACGGUGUGACGCCUGCCCGGUGCCGGAAGGUUAAUUGAUGGGGUCAGCGCAAGCGAAGCUCCUGAUCGAAGCCCCGGUAAACGGCGGCCGUAACUAUAACGGUCCUAAGGUAGCGAAAUUCCUUGUCGGGUAAGUUCCGACCUGCACGAAUGGCGUAAUGAUGGCCAGGCUGUCUCCACCCGAGACUCAGUGAAAUUGAACUCGCUGUGAAGAUGCAGUGUACCCGCGGCAAGACGGAAAGACCCCGUGAACCUUUACUAUAGCUUGACACUGAACAUUGAGCCUUGAUGUGUAGGAUAGGUGGGAGGCUUUGAAGUGUGG
Molecule: ribosomal RNA, 911 nt
Filed under: Salmonella enterica
Lineage: Bacteria; Pseudomonadati; Pseudomonadota; Gammaproteobacteria; Enterobacterales; Enterobacteriaceae
Also listed under: 5 other names
Description: partial 23S ribosomal RNA
Rfam family: Bacterial large subunit ribosomal RNA
Source: RNAcentral